GUGAGUAAUGUCUGGGAAACUGCCUGAUGGAGGGGGAUAACUACUGGAAACGGUAGCUAAUACCGCAUAACGUCGCAAGACCAAAGAGGGGGACCUUCGGGCCUCUUGCCAUCGGAUGUGCCCAGAUGGGAUUAGCUAGUUGGUGGGGUAACGGCUCACCUAGGCGACGAUCCCUAGCUGGUCUGAGAGGAUGACCAGCCACACUGGAACUGAGACACGGUCCAGACUCCUACGGGAGGCAGCAGUGGGGAAUAUUGCACAAUGGGCGCAAGCCUGAUGCAGCCAUGCCGCGUGUAUGAAGAAGGCCUUCGGGUUGUAAAGUACUUUCAGCGGGGAGGAAGGGAGUAAAGUUAAUACCUUUGCUCAUUGACGUUACCCGCAGAAGAAGCACCGGCUAACUCCGUGCCAGCAGCCGCGGUAAUACGGAGGGUGCAAGCGUUAAUCGGAAUUACUGGGCGUAAAGCGCACGCAGGCGGUUUGUUAAGUCAGAUGU
Molecule: ribosomal RNA, 493 nt
Filed under: Escherichia coli
Lineage: Bacteria; Pseudomonadati; Pseudomonadota; Gammaproteobacteria; Enterobacterales; Enterobacteriaceae
Description: bacterial SSU rRNA
Rfam family: Bacterial small subunit ribosomal RNA
Source: RNAcentral